UACGUAGGGAGCAAGCGUUGUCCGGAAUCAUUGGGCGUAAAGCGCGCGUAGGUGGCCUCAUAAGUCCGCUGUGAAAGUCAAAGGCUCAACCUUUGAAAGCCGGUGGAUACUGUGAGGCUAGAGUACGGAAGAGGCGAGUGGAAUUCCUGGUGUAGCGGUGGAAUGCGCAGAUAUCAGGAGGAACACCGGUGGCGAAGGCGGGUCUCUGGGCCGAAACUGACGCUGAGGAGCGAAAGCGUGGGGAGCAAACAGG
RNAcentral lists this ribosomal RNA (253 nucleotides) under uncultured bacterium. RNAcentral describes it as "partial 16S ribosomal RNA". It matches the Rfam family "Bacterial small subunit ribosomal RNA", at positions 524 to 776 of the family's 1533-position model. The record is from RNAcentral.